UCAAAAGAAGGGCCUCGAGGUUCACUCCCAACCCCUGUGACAUACCUAUACGUUGCCUCGGCGGAUCAGCCCGCGCCCCGUAAAAAGGGACGGCCCGCCCGAGGACCCCUAAACUCUGUUUUUAGUGGAACUUCUGAGUAAAACAAACAAAUAAAUCAAAACUUUCAACAACGGAUCUCUUGGUUCUGGCAUCGAUGAAGAACGCAGCAAAAUGCGAUAAGUAAUGUGAAUUGCAGAAUUCAGUGAAUCAUCGAAUCUUUGAACGCACAUUGCGCCCGCCAGUAUUCUGGCGGGCAUGCCUGUUCGAGCGUCAUUUCAACCCUCAAGCUCAGCUUGGUGUUGGGACUCGCGGUAACCCGCGUUCCCCAAAUCGAUUGGCGGUCACGUCGAGCUUCCAUAGCGUAGUAAUCAUACACCUCGUUACUGGUAAUCGUCGCGGCCACGCCGUAAAACCCCAACUUCUGAAUGUUGACCUCGGAUCAGGUAGGAAUACCCGCUGAACUUAAGCAUAUCAAUAAGCGGAGGA
This 526-nucleotide ribosomal RNA is filed under the name Fusarium chlamydosporum. RNAcentral's name for it is "eukaryotic LSU rRNA". The stretch from base 160 to 313 matches the Rfam family "5.8S ribosomal RNA". The record is from RNAcentral. Lineage: Eukaryota; Fungi; Ascomycota; Sordariomycetes; Hypocreales; Nectriaceae.